CCACGCCGGGCCUCUGAUCACAUGGCUCAAGUGAUGUCGGACCCUUUGUGUGGAUUACGUUUUGUGUGCACGUGUGAUAAAAAGAUGUAAAAAUGACAUCUGAAGGGAUUUGUUGAUUGAUGUUCUUUGGUAAAAUGGUGACGGUGUGGCAGGGGCAACCACCAUCAGAUAGAACCACCAUCACAUAGAACCACCAUCAGAUAGUACCACCAUCACAUAGAGCCACCAUCACAUAGAACCACCGUCACAUAGAACCACCAUCACAUAGAACCACCAUCAGAUAGUACCACCAUCAGAUAGUACCACCAUCACAUUGAACCACCAUCACAUAGAACCACCAUCACAUAGAACCACCAUCAGAUAGUACCACCAUCACAUAGAACCACCGUCAGAUAGAACCACCAUCAGAUUGUACCACCAUCACAUAGAACCACCGUCAGAUAGAACCACCAUCAGAUUGUACCACCAUCACAUAGAACCACCAUCACAUAGAACCACCGUCAGAUAGAACCACCAUCAGAUUGUACCACCAUCACAUAGAACCACCAUCACAUAGAACCACCGUCAGAUAGAACCACCGUCAGAUAGAACCACCAUCACAUAGAACCACCAUCAGAUAGCACCACCAUCACAUAGAACCACCGUCAGAUAGAACCACCGUCAGAUAGAACCACCAUCAGAUAGAACCACCAACAGAUAGAACCACCGUCAGAUAGAACCACCAUCAGAUAGAACCACAAUCACAUAGAACCACCGUCAGAUAGAACCACCAUCAGAUAGAACCACCGUCAGAUAGAACCACCAUCCACAGAAGCCUGUGGGGAGGGAGAGCACAGAGACUUUAGGAGAGGGUAAUGUUGGUUUACGAGUACAGAAAUAUGAUUAAUAUCUAAAAUAAUGAUGAUGAUGAUGAUGAUGAUGGCAGCAGCAGGGCCACGGUAGGUGUCAGGACCAGGGUCCAGAAGGAACCACGAUCUACGGAGACCUGCUAGGGGAGAAAGCACAAAACAACUCCCGGAAAGAAGCUGAAUUAGUCAUGUGCAUUAAUAAAACGUGGAUUAUGGUAGAACGAGAGCGUGAGAGAGGAGCUCGGUGUGUCCUAAAAAGUCUAAGCCUAUAGCAGCUUAACUAAGGGCUGGUCCGGACUAACCUGAGCCAGCCCUAACUAUAGGCAGAAUCAAAGAGGAAAGUUUUACUUUAAAAGAGCUGACCGAAUCUGCCCCCCGGACUGAAAGUGGAACCUGGUUCCACAAAAGAGGAGCUUGAUAACUGAAGGCUCUGGCCUUGAAUAGAUGAAUAGAGUUGCAGGUCAGCUUUGAGCAGGAACCGCCCUCAUGGCGGCGCUACAGUUAACUGCAGAGAUCACUGACAAGGAAGCAGUUUGUCAAAUAAAGUGACUUUCGGUCGGUUUGAUGAACUGCUGAUCAUCUUCAGGAGGUUUUGAGUCGGAGGGUUCCUGGUGGGAACCCUCAAACUCCCUGUCGAGGCCGCCAAAGUCUGAAUACAGACUUAAUUUGAGAGUCACGAUUCAGGCUUCUAACCGUCUCAAAUUUUAACUGACUUCAGAUGUUUUUUUUCCAAGGUUGCAUGGAUUAAAAGUAUUUCACGGGGGAUUUUAACCUCACUUUAUGGUCCGUAUCCACCUUGAGAUCAAAGCAUUUUAAAGGUACAAACGUCACAUUUAUAUGUGAUAUCAUAUUUUUAUAGAUUUUAGUGAGAGGAGGAAAAUGAAUGUCGGCGUUGGGAACUGCUGGGAUUAGUGUGUGUGUGUGUGUGUGUGUGUGUGUUUGUGUGUAUAUCCUUUCUCUGGCAACACAAAGCAGAACUUGAGAUGAAAACAUGAACAUCUUUGGAACAGUAACAACAAAAACCCUCCAGCCAUGCGUCCAGUUGCCGCCGCGGCGUUUCCAGGUUUACAGAGGAGCGGAAAUCAAGUUGCUUAGUCGCGUUGUAAACCCCAGAUUAACAUGGUGUUAUUCGGCAUGAAUCGGCUUACACGAGCUGAGGCCGCAGAGCUGAGAGUGACUUAGUGCGGCUUAAACCAGCCCGUUCGCUGUCUGGGACGGGAUAGAGGGUCUCCGGUGGGAGGAGGGAGAACAGCAGAACAUGGUUUAAGCCGGCCAUUUCAGGAAGCCGCGGGAUCAGAGAAAUUAAGAGUCUCAGUUCCUUCCUUCACGCAAUCUGAAGAACACGUCGCAUCUCCCCCGCGAAGGCGUCCACAUCCAACGUGAAAACCAGUGAAGAUACAUUUCAGUAUAUGAAACAGGGAAAUUGAGAAGACUCUUUUGUGUUUCUUGUUUGGAUGGAACACGAGCACGUAUCGUAAUAAUCAUGUGAGGAAAGUCAAAGAUCCUUUGUUGGAUCUUUGGUUCUGAAAGGUUUUCACUCAGACUCAGGGCAUCAUGAACCGUCCUCCGCCUGACACACGUCUCUAAACCGUCCUCUGCCUGACACACGGUUCUAAACUGUCCUCUGCCUGACACACGGUUCUAAACCGUCCUCUGCCUGACACACGGUUCUAAACCGUCCUCUGCCUGACACACGGUUCUAAACCGUCCUCCGCCUGACACACGGUUCUAAACCGUCCUCUGCCUGACACACGGUUCUAAACCGUCCUCUGUCUGACACACGUCUCUAAACUGUCCUCUGCUUGACACACGGUUCUAAACCGUCCUCUGCUUGACACACGGUUCUAAACUGUCCUCUGCCUGACACACGGUUCUAAACCGUCCUCUGCCUGACACACGGUUCUAAACCGUCCUCUGCCUGACACACGGUUCUAAACCGUCCUCUGCCUGACACACGUCUCUGAAGUGUCCUCCGCCUGACACACUGUUCUAAACUGUCCUCUGCUUGACAUUUUGUACUUCCUUCACGUUUUGAUUUCAUUUUUCUUCGGCUGCCACAGUUUGGCCAGGAUAGAAGAAAAAAACAUUCAGUGCUGAAGCACUUAAUGAAUUCCACUUUUUUCAUAGAGAACAUUGAAAUAUUUACGGGCAGACUGUCAUUCCAGAACAGUAAUACAUUAUCUCUCACAAAAGUCAUUAUUUAUGUUAUUUCUAUGAGGGGACUUUAAAGUCAUGACCGCUGCGAAGCCGUCUGCUGUGUUUCAGAAAAUGUUCUUUCCUUGUGGCUCCUCUGAGAGUUGCAGCGCCGUCGGCUGGGAAAAAAGUCUGUUUAUCAUUCCGGCUGAAUCUGUUAUUUCUGUUAAUGUGUUCCUGCAGCCGGGCCCGACCAUCACUCAUUCAUUCCCCUGAUAAGGAGGAGUGGUGUUUCUGCUGCGUCACAUGGACAGCUCCAGUGGCGUAUCGCAGUGUUCUGUCACGCCAUGGCGCUGAUGUCAUAUAUUUCUUUUGCAUCGGGCCGGUUUGAUUUGGGUCCCCAACCUUUUUAACGGAGAGUCAAACAUCGUGGAAACGUCAGCUGGAUAAGAGAUGUGGAGCUGUGUGUCAAACAGACUCAGAGUGACCUCGUGACCUGCGGCUUGAACAAUGAGGGUUCGAUGGGAUGGAGGAGCUCUGAACAUCAUCACCACUGUAAAAGCACGUUUAGCUGUUUAUUAUUAAAGCAUGCCGAGCUGUUUGCCAUUUGCCCGAAGGUCGGAGCUCACAGCAACAAUGAGGUUUGCAAACAAAUUGUAGAAGAAAAAAAUAAGCAUUUCGAUGACAACGUUCCUUCCUGUAGCUGCAAAUAAAAAUGAUAUUGAAAGCAGCACGAUAACCCUCAAUUUAAAAAUGCCCCCCUCAAUCUAAAAUGAUCCACAUGCUUCUGAAACUAAUAGCACCUACUGCCUCAGGUUUAACUUAGUGAUUGGUUGCACUGAACCAACAGAUUCUGCAGAAAAUAACACAUCUGAUGUAUAAGAAUCCCAUUAACAUCAUUAACAUAGUGCAUGCAUAUGUAGCAUGAAUCAGUAUAUAAAUAACUAGCUGGUCUACUCAUACAUUAGCUGUAAUCCUUUACAAUCCAACAUUGUACUCAUUUCCGCUUCCUUUUUUCCUUCAUAUAUAUA
Gasterosteus aculeatus aculeatus (three-spined stickleback) is the source of this 4012-nucleotide long non-coding RNA. NCBI's taxonomy places the organism in Eukaryota, Metazoa, Chordata, Actinopteri, Perciformes, Gasterosteidae. The record is from Ensembl.